UACGGAGGGUGCAAGCGUUGUCCGGAUUUAUUGGGUUUAAAGGGUGCGCAGGCGGACUAUUAAGUCAGUGGUGAAAUUUUGCGGCUUAACCGUAAAACUGCCAUUGAUACUGGUAGUCUUGAGUUCAGUUGAGGUGGUUGGAAUGCGUAGUGUAGCGGUGAAAUGCAUAGAUAUUACGCAGAACACCAAUUGCGAAGGCAGAUCACUAAACUGAAACUGACGCUGAGGCACGAAAGCGUGGGGAGCGAACAGG
Molecule: ribosomal RNA, 253 nt
Filed under: uncultured bacterium
Lineage: Bacteria
Description: partial 16S ribosomal RNA
Rfam family: Bacterial small subunit ribosomal RNA
Source: RNAcentral